This 494-nucleotide ribosomal RNA is filed under the name uncultured bacterium. RNAcentral's name for it is "partial 16S ribosomal RNA". It matches the Rfam family "Bacterial small subunit ribosomal RNA", at positions 28 to 507 of the family's 1533-position model. The record is from RNAcentral.
GACGAACGCUGGCGGCGUGCUUAACACAUGCAAGUCGAACGGUGAAGCGCCUUCCUUUUUGGUGGGUGUGGAUGAGUGGCGAACGGGUGAGUAACACGUGAGUAACCUGCCCCCUUCUUCUGGAUAACCGCAUGAAAGUGUGGCUAAUACGGGAUAUUCUGGGUCUGUCGCAUGAUGGGUCUGGGAAAGAUAUUGUUUCGGUGGGGGAUGGGCUCGCGGCCUAUCAGCUUGUUGGUGGGGUGAUGGCCUACCAAGGCGGGGACGGGUAGCCGGCCUGGGAGGGUGGCCGGUCACACUGGGACUGAGGCACGGCCCCGACUCCUACGGGAGGCAGCAGUGGGGAAUAUUGCACAAUGGGCGCAAGCCUGAUGCAGCGACGCCGCGUGAGGGAUGGAGGCCUGCGGGUUGUGAACCUCUUUCGCCAGUGAAGCAGGCCUGCCUCGUUUGUGGGUGGGUUGACGGUAGCUGGAUAAGAAGCGCCGGCUAACUACGUG